RNAcentral lists this ribosomal RNA (253 nucleotides) under uncultured bacterium. RNAcentral's name for it is "partial 16S ribosomal RNA". It matches the Rfam family "Bacterial small subunit ribosomal RNA", at positions 524 to 776 of the family's 1533-position model. The record is from RNAcentral.
UACGUAGGAUGCAAGCGUUGUUCGGAAUUACUGGGCGUAAAGAGUACGUAGGCGGUCUGGCAAGUCUGAUAUGAAAGACUGGAGCUUAACUCCAGGACUGUAUCGGAAACUGCCAAACUAGAGGACAAUAGAGGAAGUCGGAAUUCUCAGUGUAGCGGUGAAAUGCGUAGAUAUUGGGAAGAACACCAGUGGCGAAAGCGGACUUCUGGGUUGUUACUGACGCUGAGGUACGAAAGCGUGGGGAGCAAACGGG